GACGAACGCUGGCGGCGUGCUUAACACAUGCAAGUCGAACGGUGAUGCUCCAGCUUGCUGGAGUGGAUCAGUGGCGAACGGGUGAGUAACACGUGAGCAACCUGCCCCAGACUCUGGAAUAAGCGCUGGAAACGGCGUCUAAUACUGGAUACGAAACUGGCCCGCAUGGGCAUGGUUUGGAAAGUUUUUCGGUUUGGGAUGGGCUCGCGGCCUAUCAGCUUGUUGGUGAGGUAAUGGCUCACCAAGGCGACGACGGGUAGCCGGCCUGAGAGGGCGACCGGCCACACUGGGACUGAGACACGGCCCUGACUCCUACGGGAGGCAGCAGUGGGGAAUAUUGCACAAUGGGCGAAAGCCUGAUGCAGCGACGCCGCGUGAGGGAUGACGGCCUUCGGGUUGUAAACCUCUUUCAGCAGGGAAGAAGCGAAAGUGACGGUACCUGCAGAAGAAGCACCGGCUAACUACGUG
RNAcentral lists this ribosomal RNA (468 nucleotides) under uncultured bacterium. RNAcentral's name for it is "partial 16S ribosomal RNA". It matches the Rfam family "Bacterial small subunit ribosomal RNA", at positions 28 to 507 of the family's 1533-position model. The record is from RNAcentral.